Molecule: ribosomal RNA, 342 nt
Filed under: uncultured Lactobacillus sp.
Lineage: Bacteria; Bacillati; Bacillota; Bacilli; Lactobacillales; Lactobacillaceae
Description: bacterial SSU rRNA
Rfam family: Bacterial small subunit ribosomal RNA
Source: RNAcentral
GUUUAAAAGAUGGUUCUGCUAUCACUCUUGGAUGGACCCUGCGGUGCAUUUAGCUAGUUGGUAGGGUAACGGCCUACCAAGGCGAUGAUGCAUAGCCGAGUUGAGAGACUGAUCGGCCACAUUGGGACUGAGACACGGCCCAAACUCCUACGGGAGGCAGCAGUAGGGAAUCUUCCACAAUGGACGCAAGUCUGAUGGAGCAACGCCGCGUGAGUGAAGAAGGGUUUCGGCUCGUAAAGCUCUGUUGUUGGUGAAGAAGGACAGGGGUAGUAACUGACCUUUGUUUAACGGUAAUCAAUUAGAAAGUCACGGCUAACUACGUGCCCAGCAGCCGCGGGUAAU